UACGGGGGGAGCGAGCGUUGUUCGGAAUCACUGGGCGUAAAGGGCGCGUAGGCGGUCGAGUAAGUCAGGGGUGAAAUGCCAGGGCUUAACCUUGGAAUUGCCCUUGAUACUGCUUGGCUGGAGGGCGGAAGAGGAUAGUGGAAUUCCUGGUGUAGCGGUGAAAUGCGUAGAUAUCAGGAAGAACACCGGUGGCGAAGGCGGCUAUCUGGUCCGCUACUGACGCUGAUGCGCGAAAGCCAGGGGAGCAAACGGG
RNAcentral lists this ribosomal RNA (253 nucleotides) under uncultured bacterium. RNAcentral's name for it is "partial 16S ribosomal RNA". It matches the Rfam family "Bacterial small subunit ribosomal RNA", at positions 524 to 776 of the family's 1533-position model. The record is from RNAcentral.